This 107-nucleotide ribosomal RNA is filed under the name Mus pahari (shrew mouse). Its description in RNAcentral is "rRNA (MGP_PahariEiJ_G0032670.1)". Lineage: Eukaryota; Metazoa; Chordata; Mammalia; Rodentia; Muridae. The record is from RNAcentral.
ACCUAGAGCCAUGUCACGCAGAAUGAACCAGAUCUGGUCUGAUCUCUGAAGCUAAGUAAAGCUGGGCCUUGUGAGUGCUUAGGGGGAAGAAGCAAUAGUCUUAGGAU